GAAAUGCGAUAAGUAAUGUGAAUUGCAGAAUUCAGUGAAUCAUCGAAUCUUUGAACGCACCUUGCGCUCCUUGGUAUUCCGAGGAGCAUGCCUGUUUGAGUGUCAUUAAAUUCUCAACCUCACCAAUUUUGUUAUGAGAUUGUGUGUUGGCUUGGAUGUGGGGGUUGCAGGUCCGCUUCGGUGGUCUGCUCCUCUGAAAUGUAUUAGUGGGUUUGGUCCCCUAAUCUAUUGGUGUGAUAAUUAUCUACGCCGUGGAUUGGAAGACUAUUAUGAACCUGCUUCUAACCGUCCCUUACCGGACAAUUUAUGACAUUUUUGACCUCAAAUCAGGUAAGACUACCCGCUGAACUUAA
This 353-nucleotide unclassified non-coding RNA is filed under the name uncultured Coprinopsis. RNAcentral's name for it is "sequence contains ITS1". The stretch from base 1 to 105 matches the Rfam family "5.8S ribosomal RNA", at positions 50 to 154 of the family's 154-position model. The record is from RNAcentral. Lineage: Eukaryota; Fungi; Basidiomycota; Agaricomycetes; Agaricales; Psathyrellaceae.